CCUCUCCCUUGGCUCGUACCAAAGCGCAGAGGAGGAGAGGGAGGAAGGAACCAUUAACGUCAAGCAAAGUUAGAAACGGAAAAGGAAAGGUUCUAGAACCCCUGAUCUCCUAGCAACGAGGCUGCGGAACCUCUGCAGACUCCAAGGGUUUUAUAGCGUCCGGUAGCGACACGGAGCCGGCUCCCCCUUUUCCAGCCUUCCUCCCCAUCUCCCAUUCUCCAUCCCCCACGACCUAUACCAGAGGUCCUUAGGCCUCCACGUCUCUCCUUUUGCCGAGUAGCCCAAGGUUUCCACCCAUCUGCCAGGGGGAUGGCGUCCACUCCGAUGGGGAAUGAGGGGGAGAAGAAGAGCAGCUGGCCAUCUCAAGCUGCACCCUCCUUGAGAGGAGGUCCGGCUUCGUUAUCUCGUUCUGAGGAAUACCUGUCCCAGAUCAGUGCAGAACUCAUGGAGGAGGCUUUGUGCACUGCUUGCUGCCACUUGAACCCUGUGCCCAUCAAAAAAAAGCAGUCACAAGACCAAGCGACUCAGAUAUCCAAACGCGCAUUCUUCACCAAGACCUGAGGCACAGACACCUGGUGAGUGAGGCUUCAAGGGAGAUGCUCUUUGUCCUGGGAGAGAGAAACCGUACCUGCAGCAAGGCAUACCUCCUGCCAACUCCUGGUGAAAAGAACAUGCCUCAAAACUACUCUUUUGCCACUCGUUAACCACUUCCGUUUGUGGGGACCUCCUGGUCAUGAGCAGCAUCAUCCCGAAGCCUUCAAAGUGUUCUGGAUUCAUCACAGGACCCUCCAGCCUCAGCCAGCAAGGAUACCACCAGGAAUGAAAGUGCUUUAAUAAAGAGACAGGGUGUGCAUU
This 855-nucleotide long non-coding RNA is filed under the name Homo sapiens (human). Its description in RNAcentral is "HSALNT0385277". Lineage: Eukaryota; Metazoa; Chordata; Mammalia; Primates; Hominidae. The record is from RNAcentral.